This is a non-coding RNA of Phoenix dactylifera (date palm), 2096 nucleotides long. Lineage: Eukaryota; Viridiplantae; Streptophyta; Magnoliopsida; Arecales; Arecaceae. The record is from RefSeq and is a predicted model, not a curated record.
GCAUUCUUGUAAAUUACACCUUUUAAAUAGCCGAAGACCCUUCUCGUCUUCUCCUCGUCUUCGAGAAUCAAGAUUCAAGAUCACCUCCUCUUCCUCUUCUUCUUCUCUAAUCGUCGCCGGCAGUUGCCCUCCUCAUCGUCUUCCUCUCCCGUCGCAGCCGGAGCAGCACGGCCCUCCUCCUCUUCUUCUACCGUUCUUCUCCCGAUCAACCACUGUGCCGCCUUCGUCGCCGCCGUCGUCUCCCCCUCAACCGCAGCCCUCGGCCUGGGAAAGGUGACUAGUCAGAUGGCAUUGUCAGUGGGAGCAGAUUCACCAUCUACAUUAAAAUUUAUGGAGCUUGCCCUAGAUCAGGCUAAGUUUGCAUUGGACAACCUUGAAAUCCCUGUUGGCUGUGUUAUUGUGGAGGAUGGCAAAGUUAUUUCCUCUGGUAGCAACCGAACCACCGUCACACGAAAUGCUACUAGACAUGCAGAAAUGGAAGCCAUUGAUAUUCUUCUUGAAAAGUGGCAAAAGAUUGGACUUGACCAAUCACAAAUUGCAGAAAAGUUUUCAAGAUGUGAUCUUUAUGUUACAUGUGAACCUUGUAUAAUGUGUGCAACAGCCUUAUCCAUUCUUGGAAUAAGGGAGGUAUUCUAUGGUUGUGCUAAUGACAAAUUUGGAGGAUGUGGAUCUAUUUUGUCGCUACACAAAAGCGGCUCCAAGAAUUUGUGCAGGGAAGGAGUUUUACCACAUAAGGGCUUCAAAUGUACCGGGGGACUCAUGUCGGAAGAGGCAAUUGCUCUUUUCCGAAGUUUCUACGAACAGGGAAAUCCCAAUGCUCCAAAGCCUCACCGACCAGUCCAAGUGCUUCAAUAGGCCCAAUGAAGCUAAUGCCGUAAUUUGCUGAACUUUGUUUGUUCGGAAGAAUUUAUUUCCGUUUUGAAGCUGUUGAAGAGAGGCAAUCGGAAAUUCUUAAUUCCCCAUCUGUAUGAGAGUUGAGAGGGAUUUGGAACGGAUUCUAUGGUUCCUUGGGCACUUUGUGAGUUUAGCUUCUCUGAUGUGUUCAUUCUUUGAACUCAACUUCAUGAUCUGAUCAUGUUUCGAGAAUGAGAAAAGGUAACUUGGCCAAAGGCUCGAUAUAUGACUCAUUAUAGGCAUCCGUAAGUUUCUAUUUGUUGAUGAUUGCUGUGUUUCUCAUCUCAUUAACAUUGACUCCAUGGAAGUUUGACAACUUGCUGACACCAAAGUCCGUCUUUGCUUGCUGUCUUUUGGAAAUGAAACGGACACCACUGUUUCCCGAACCCUUUAUAGCCUCCCCAACGAGUCUAAGAUUAGAGGAGGAAGGUUCCCUAACCUAUGUGUUUCUUGAUCUCUGCAUCAGCAAAUCAAUAAAUUCUCGAAAUUCUUGGUGGACAAACCCCAUGUAGCUCCAUUUCUACUAUGAUAUGAAAAUAUUCGUUAUGGGAAAGGAGGUCUUUCUGGCACGGAAAGAGAUCCAGAUGCUUGCAGCAGAAACUCUUCUGUCUAAAUGUUCUUGGAUUACAAAUAUCUUCCCACUAGGAGAAAUCUACAUAAGUGGAUGCUAGAAAGAAGAGUGAGGAAUGCACUGAUGCAUGUCAUACACGGCUUAGAUUCCAAGGAAUCCAGCUAUGGAAGUGAUCUGCUUGGGUUCAUGAUGGAGUCUUGCAGAUCAGAACUUUGGUUGAAAGCAAGAAGGUCAAUUAUAGAUGAGUGCAAGACAUUCUUCUUUGUUGGGCAGGAGACUGCCUCUCAUUUGCUAACUUCGACUGUUCUUGUGUACAAACAAGGAAUGGCGGGAGAGGCUUAGGGGAUGGAGAAUGCGAAAUAGAAAUUUCCAAUGCAGAUAUUUUCAGCAAGCUAAAAAUUGACAAAUAGGGUCGAUAGAAAUGAAGGAUGGUCCUGGCUUGGAGUUCGCACUAGCAAGUUUGGCGAUCUAUAUAGCAGAGCAGAAUUUUAGUUUUUCAAUUGAUUGUGAAUUUGUAGUUAGUAAUUUUCUGAAUAGUAAAUAUUAUGGAUCUAGUAUUUAUGUUUAGAUUUAAAUGCUUUGAACCAAUAUUGGUUUUAUUUAAUGGAUAAUGAAAUUAGAUUUCUAUUUA